AAACUGGGAUUAGAUACCCCACUAUGCUUAGUCGUAAACUUAAAUAAUCCUAAAACAAGAUUAUUCGCCAGAGUACUAUCGGCAACAGCCCAAAACUCAAAGGACUUGGCGGUGCUUCAUAUCCUUCUAGAGGAGCCUGUUCUGUAAACGAUAAACCACGAUUAACCUCACCAAUCCUUGCUACUUCAGUCUAUAUACCGCCAUCUUCAGCAAACCCUAAAAAAGGAACGAAAGUAAGCACAACUACUGCACGUAAAAACGUUAGGUCAAGGUGUAACCUAUGGAUUGGGAAGAAAUGGGCUACAUUUUCUAUAAUAAGAACAUCCCUUAAACUUACACGAAAGUUUUUAUGAAACCUAAAAACUAAAGGAGGAUUUAGCAGUAAAUUAAGAAUAGAAUGCUUAAUUGAAUAAGGCCAUGAAGCACGCACACACCGCCCGUCACCCUC
Molecule: ribosomal RNA, 448 nt
Filed under: Tursiops truncatus (common bottlenose dolphin)
Lineage: Eukaryota; Metazoa; Chordata; Mammalia; Artiodactyla; Delphinidae
Description: partial 12S ribosomal RNA
Rfam family: Bacterial small subunit ribosomal RNA
Source: RNAcentral